GCUUAGAAGCAGCCACACAUUCAAAGAGUGCGUAAUAGCUCACUGGUCGAGUGAUUGUGCGCCGAAGAUGUCCGGGGCUAAAACACACCACCGAAGCUUCGGGUUGCAAGAGAUUGCAGCGGUAGAGGAGCAUAGUGCAUUGGCAGAAGCCAGACCGGAAGGACUGGUGGACGAUGCAGUAGAGAGAAUGCCGGUAUGAGUAACGAGAUGUGUGCGAGAAACACACACGUCGAAAGCCCAAGGUUUCCUGGGGAAGGUUCAUCCGCCCAGGGUAAGUCGGGGCCUAAGCCGAGGACGAUAGUCGUAGGCGAUGGAUAACUGGUGGAGAUUCCAGUACCACCUUUAUGAGCGAAGCACUGACACAGAAGGAUAGCGUGAGCAGGUUGAUGGUAGAGCCUGUCUAAGCGGUUAGGCGAUUCGGCAGUGAAGUACGCCGAUGGUAGUUGAGCCGUGAUGGGGAGCGAAAAUAAAGUAGCGAAGCACGUGAAUCCCCGCUGGCAAGAAAAGGUGCUAGUAAUAUUGUAAGGGUGCCCGUACCGCAAACCGACGCAGGUGGGCGAGGAGAGAAUCCUAAGACGAACGGGAGAACCCUUGUUAAGGAACUCGGCAAAAUGACCUCGUAACUUCGGGAGAAGAGGUGCCUCGAAAGAGGCCGCAGAGAAAAGGCCCAAGCGACUGUUUAGCAAAAACACAGGUGUUUGCGAAAGCGAGAGCUGACGUAUAAGCGCUGACGCCUGCCCGGUGCUGGAAGGUUAAGAGGAGCUGUCAGGCAACGAAGCAGCGAAUUGAAGCCCCAGUAAACGGCGGCCGUAACUAUAACGGUCCUAAGGUAGCGAAAUUCCUUGUCGGGUAAGUUCCGACCCGCACGAAUGGCGUAACGACUUGGGCGCUGUCUCAACAGGGGACCCGGUGAAAUUGAAGUAUGGGUGAAGAUGCCCAUUACCCGCGACUGGACGGAAAGACCCCGUAGAGCUUUACUGUAGCUUAUCAUUGAGAUUUGGUAACGGAUGUACAGAAUAGGUGGGACUCUGAGAAACAGGGACGUCAGUUUCUGCGGAGAGGCCGUUGGGAUACCACUCUUCUGUUACUGAAUUUCUAACAACAUGCAGUUAACCUGGUGAUGGACAGUGAUAGGUGGGCAGUUUGACUGGGGCGGUCGCCUCCCAAAGAGUAACGGAGGCGCCCAAAGGUUCCCUCAGAAUGGAUGGAAAUCAUUCGAAGAGUGCAAAGGCAGAAGGGAGCCUGACUGCGAGACAGACACGUCGGGCAGAUACGAAAGUAGGGCUUAGUGAUCAGGCGGUAUCGAGUGGAAGAGCCGUCGCUCAACGGAUAAAAGCUACCUCGGGGAUAACAGGCUGAUCUCCCCCAAGAGU
RNAcentral lists this ribosomal RNA (1373 nucleotides) under human gut metagenome. RNAcentral's name for it is "bacterial LSU rRNA". It matches the Rfam family "Bacterial large subunit ribosomal RNA", at positions 1104 to 2499 of the family's 2925-position model. The record is from RNAcentral.